This 497-nucleotide ribosomal RNA is filed under the name uncultured bacterium. RNAcentral describes it as "partial 16S ribosomal RNA". It matches the Rfam family "Bacterial small subunit ribosomal RNA", at positions 28 to 507 of the family's 1533-position model. The record is from RNAcentral.
GAUGAACGCUGGCGGCGUGCCUAAUACAUGCAAGUCGAGCGAACAGACGAGGAGCUUGCUCCUCUGACGUUAGCGGCGGACGGGUGAGUAACACGUGGAUAACCUACCUAUAAGACUGGGAUAACUUCGGGAAACCGGAGCUAAUACCGGAGAAUAUAUUGAACCGCAUGGUUCAAUAGUAAAAGACGGUUUUGCUGUCACUUAUAGAUGGAUCCCCGCCGCAUUAGCUAGUUGGUAAGGUAACGGCUUACCAAGGCAACGAGGCGUAGCCGACCUGAGAGGGUGAUCGGCCACACUGGAACUGAGACACGGUCCAGACUCCUACGGGAGGCAGCAGUAGGGAAUCUUCCGCAAUGGGCGAAAGCCUGACGGAGCAACGCCGCGUGAGUGAUGAAGGUCUUCGGAUCGUAAAACUCUGUUAUUAGGGAAGAACAAAUGUGUAAGUAACUAUGCACGUCUUGACGGUACCUAAUCAGAAAGCCACGGCUAACUACGUG